Molecule: long non-coding RNA, 496 nt
Filed under: Homo sapiens (human)
Lineage: Eukaryota; Metazoa; Chordata; Mammalia; Primates; Hominidae
Description: long non-coding RNA NONHSAT173915.1
Source: RNAcentral
CAUCAAGUUGGAUAUAAAAGUCCCCACAAGUAUCAAUAAAAGACUGAUGGUGCCUUUUAUUAUUCUUUGGGCUGAAGUGAGAAACUGGAAGGCUAAAAGACAUGCGGAUAAAUGUGACAGGCCGAGUAUGCUCUGUAGUGUCAGCUCCUUCCCAAAACCCCGCUAACACUAUGGCAAAGAAAAGGUAUAAACUUACAAGAACGAAGAAAAAUGGAGAGAAAAAGAUAUCAGAGAAGAAAGAUCAGCAGAACUUGGGAACGUGAAAAGUGGAAGGCUGAGUGCUGUCUUGGCAGAAGGGAAAGCUGAGAGGCAGCAGGCCAGCUCACAUCCAAGAACCUCGGAAGAGCUCAGGAAUUGAAGACAGGAUCUCACUCUAUUGUUCAGGGUAGAGUGCAUUGGUGAGUUGUUAGGCUAAAAUGAGACCAUAGCUGUGAAUAUCCUUUGGCAGGAAAGGGCCACAGCUCCUCCCACCUGUUUUAUUGUUCCUGCUGGACUU